This is a long non-coding RNA of Maniola jurtina (meadow brown), 81 nucleotides long. RefSeq lists it as uncharacterized. The record is from RefSeq and is a predicted model, not a curated record. NCBI's taxonomy places the organism in Eukaryota, Metazoa, Arthropoda, Insecta, Lepidoptera, Nymphalidae. The transcript has 3 exons.
AAAGUAUAACGCGUCCAAACUAAGAAAGGGAGAUCGUAUCCGCCAUAUUGUGACGUUAUAGAUAAAAAUAUAUUUUUAUUC